This 57-nucleotide transfer RNA is filed under the name Dipodomys ordii (Ord's kangaroo rat). Lineage: Eukaryota; Metazoa; Chordata; Mammalia; Rodentia; Heteromyidae. The record is from Rfam by way of RNAcentral.
GGGAAUGUGGCUUAGUGGUAGAGUGCUUGCCUAGCAUGCAUGAAGUCCUCAGUCCCA